AGUUAUUUGUAUAUAUAAAUAAUAAGACCUGCUCAAUGAUAAAUUAAAUAGCCGCGGUAUUUAUGACUGUGCAAAGGUAGCAUAAUCAUUUGUUUUAUAAAUUAAGAAUAGUAUGAAAGGUUAUAUGGGGUGUAGCUUUCUUAAAUUAAAAGAUAAAAUUAAUCUUUUUAGUGAAGAGACUAAAAUGAUAUUGUAAGACGAGAAGACCCUAUCAAGCUUGAUAUAAUAUAUUUAGUUGGGGUAAUUAAAGAACAUAGCUUCUUUUAUAAAUUAAAAUUAUAGUUUUAGAAUUUAUAGUAUAAGAUAUUAGAUAAAGUUACUGUAGGGAUAACAGCAUAAUUUUUUUGAAGAGUUCUUAUCGAUAAAAUUAAUUAUGACCUCGAUGUUGGAUUAGAAAAAUUAUAUGAUGAAGUUAUCAUAAAAAUUAGUCUGUUCGACUAUUAAAUUUCUACA
Molecule: ribosomal RNA, 453 nt
Filed under: Peripatidae gen. sp. DNA104978
Lineage: Eukaryota; Metazoa; Onychophora; Udeonychophora; Euonychophora; Peripatidae
Description: partial 16S ribosomal RNA
Rfam family: Bacterial large subunit ribosomal RNA
Source: RNAcentral